GUUUGAUCCUGGCUCAGAUUGAACUGGCGGGAUGCUUUACACGCUGCAAGUCGAACGGCAGCACGGACUUCGGUCUGGUGGCGAGUGGCGAACGGGUGAGUAAUGUAUCGGAACGUGCCUAUUGUGAGGAUAACUACGCGGCCAGCUAAUACCGCAUACGCCCUUCCGGGGGAAAGCGGGGACCUUCGGGCCUCGCACUAUUAGAGCGGCCGAUAUCGGAUAGCUAGUUGGUGGGAUGGCGGCUCGCAAGGCGACGAUCCGUAGCUGGCUGGUUUGAGAGGACGACCAGCCACACUGGGACUGAGACACGGCCCAGACUCCUACGGGGAGGCAACAGUGGGAAUUUACGGACCAAUGGGGAAACCUGAUCAAACCAUCCGCGUGUGCGAUGAAGCAUGGGUUCGUAAAGCACUUUUGGCAGAAGAAACGGCACGGGAUAAUACCCCGUGCAACUGACGAGCCACCUGCAGAAUAAAGCACCGGCUAACUUCACGGUACCAGCAGCCGCGGUAAUACGUAGGAGUGCAAGCGUUAAUCGGAAUUACUGGGCGUAAAGCAUUCGCAGGCGGUUCGGAAAGAAAGAUGUGAAAUCCCAGAGCUUAACUUUUGGAACUGCAUUUUUAACUACCGACUAGAGUGUGUCAGAGGGAGGUGGAAUUCCGCGUGUAGCAGUGAAAUGCGUAGAUGCGGAGAGACACCGAUGGCGAGCGGCCUCACCAGGAUAACACUGACGCUCAUGCGAAAGCGUGGGAGCAAACGGGAUUAGAAUACCCUGGUAGUCCACGCCCUAAACGAUGUCAACUAGCUGUUGGGGCAGCUGGCCUUGGUAGCGCAGCCGCGUGAGGUUGACCGCCUGGGAGAGUACGGUCUUAAGAUUAAAACUCAAAGGAAUUGACGGGGAUUACACAAGCGGUGGAUGAUGUGGAUUAAUUUGAUGCAACGCGAAAAACCUUACCUACCCUUGACAUGUCUGGAAUCCAGAAGAGAUUUGGGAGUGCUCGCAAGAGAACCGGAACACAGGUGCUGCAUGGCUGUCGUCAGCUCGUGUCGUGAGAUGUUGGGUUAAGUCCGCAACGAGCGCAACCCUUGUCGUGGUUGCUACGAAAGGGCACUCUAAUGAGACUGCCGGUGACAAACCGGAGGAAGGUGGGGAUGACGUCAGAUCCUCGCAGCCCUUAUGGGUAGGGCACACACGUCAUACAAUGGUCAGGACAGAGGGUCGCCAACCCGCGAGGCCAAUCCCGAUCGUAGUCGGGAUCCUCGGUCUGCAACUCGACUGCGUGAAGUCAGAAUCGCCCGUAAUCGCGGAUCAGCAUGUCGCGGUGAAUACGUUCCCGGGUCUUUUACACCGCCCGUCACACCAUGGGAGUGGGUUUUACCAGAAGUAGUUAGCCUAGCCGUAAGGAGGGCGAUUACCACGGUAGGAUUCAUGACUGGGGUGAAGUCGUAACUGAGUAG
Molecule: ribosomal RNA, 1458 nt
Filed under: uncultured Bordetella sp.
Lineage: Bacteria; Pseudomonadati; Pseudomonadota; Betaproteobacteria; Burkholderiales; Alcaligenaceae
Description: partial 16S-23S ribosomal RNA intergenic spacer
Rfam family: Bacterial small subunit ribosomal RNA
Source: RNAcentral